CAGUGUCAAUCAGGCUUUGGAGACGGUCAAUUGUGUGUCGCCCUAUCAAGAACGAAUAAUUUGCAUCGUACCAACGAAGUGGACCUUAACUAAUUGUCGCGAUUCAAAUCUCGUUCCGAUCUAACGAUGACUCGGACGCGACUGAAAAAUGGCGAAUAAUGGCGGCACUUUCGAAAGGACCAGUACUGUUUAGUCAAAAAUACAGAUGGCUCGUCCAGUAAAAAUUGACCUACAGGAACAAGAUAUACAUUGAAGCAAAGGAAGAAAGAAUAUUGUUAUUUGAAUUACAGAUUCAACGUCUCCAAAAUUCACUUUGCACAGAAUAAUCGAAUUUGUCGUAUAGAACAUCAGUUUCCAGUUUAUCCAGUUUCAUGCGAAUCCACAACAAACAACAUACUUUGAAGACAACCGAAACUCAGUCGAUAAUAUCAUGGGUAGUUUUUGGUGCAUAUCAUAUAGGUUUAACAAGAGAAAAGCUUAUUGCGUCAACGAGGAGGUAUUUAAGCACUAAUAGAACAAACAACAAAAUGAAUUACGAGUACAAUGAGUCUCUAACGAAUAGAUGCCCUCGUCAAGCUAACGAUGUAAGCACACGAUAAAUUUAAUCGUCUAACAUAGUUGUCGCUAAUAACGAGUUAAAUAGUCUGUUUCGAAAUGUAGAUCGCUUAAAAAUUGUUUCUGAUCAAAUUUGCCGAAUUAUUAAGCAAAUUAACUUGUCUUCGCUCAAAUAUUCAACCGACUCGUAUAACUUAACCCUAACUGUAGGGUGCAACGUAACGAUCGUACGAGGCGGUAAAUAGACGAACGCGUCGAUGGUAUAUUAUACGCGGAGACGAUAUAUUCCAUCGUGCACGCCUACGUGAUGUCAUGCGCGCGUCAGAAAUGCCGACCUUGCGGCUGCAGCUCAAGUCAGUGCACGCGUAAUGCGAUGCAUUUGUAUUGGCCAAGCCUUUCGGCCGAUCCCACCAUCGGUUUGCGCUGAUAAGCAUACCUACGCCUCGCAAACUUAUAUGCAUGGCUGAUCGUAUGCCUGGUAUGUAGGUAUAUGUGCGAAGUAACCGUACGAGGAAUCGUCAUUUCUCGGUGAUCGCGAAUGUUAUUGAAUGCGAUGUCGGGUGCAGAAUGGAUGAAAUCGAAAGAGAUUUUUCAGUCGAGAUCUUAAGAAUCUUUGAGCCAAGGUCCUUUCACUGAUUUCUAUUGAUGUACGAUAUUUAAUUUAUUUAUGAAGUAUGAACAACCGGCGUUAGUGUAGGUUAUGGU
This is a long non-coding RNA of Bombus terrestris (buff-tailed bumblebee), 1260 nucleotides long. RefSeq lists it as uncharacterized. The transcript is spliced from 3 exons. NCBI's taxonomy places the organism in Eukaryota, Metazoa, Arthropoda, Insecta, Hymenoptera, Apidae. The record is from RefSeq and is a predicted model, not a curated record.